GAGUUUGAUCCUGGCUCAGGACGAACGCUGGCGGCGUGCCUAAUACAUGCAAGUAGAACGCUGAAGGAGGAGCUUGCUCUUCUGGAAGAGUUGCGAACGGGUGAGUAACGCGUAGGUAACCUGCCUGGUAGCGGGGGAUAACUAUUGGAAACGAUAGCUAAUACCGCAUAAAAUUGAAUAUCGCAUGAUAAUUGAUUAAAAGAUGCAAUUGCAUCACUACCAGAUGGACCUGCGUUGUAUUAGCUAGUAGGUGAGGUAACGGCUCACCUAGGCGACGAUACAUAGCCGACCUGAGAGGGUGAUCGGCCACACUGGGACUGAGACACGGCCCAGACUCCUACGGGAGGCAGCAGUAGGGAAUCUUCGGCAAUGGGGGCAACCCUGACCGAGCAACGCCGCGUGAGUGAAGAAGGUUUUCGGAUCGUAAAGCUCUGUUGUAAGAGAAGAACGAGUGUGAGAGUGGAAAGUUCACACUGUGACGGUAUCUUACCAGAAAGGGACGGCUAACUACGUGCCAGCAGCCGCGGUAAUACGUAGG
Molecule: ribosomal RNA, 538 nt
Filed under: uncultured bacterium
Lineage: Bacteria
Description: bacterial SSU rRNA
Rfam family: Bacterial small subunit ribosomal RNA
Source: RNAcentral